Molecule: ribosomal RNA, 490 nt
Filed under: uncultured bacterium
Lineage: Bacteria
Description: partial 16S ribosomal RNA
Rfam family: Bacterial small subunit ribosomal RNA
Source: RNAcentral
AUUGAACGCUGGCGGCAGGCCUAACACAUGCAAGUCGAACGGUAACAGGAAACAGCUUGCUGUUUCGCUGACGAGUGGCGGACGGGUGAGUAAUGUCUGGGAAACUGCCUGAUGGAGGGGGAUAACUACUGGAAACGGUAGCUAAUACCGCAUAACGUCGCAAGACCAAAGAGGGGGACCUUCGGGCCUCUUGCCAUCGGAUGUGCCCAGAUGGGAUUAGCUAGUAGGUGGGGUAACGGCUCACCUAGGCGACGAUCCCUAGCUGGUCUGAGAGGAAGACCAGCCACACUGGAACUGAGACACGGUCCAGACUCCUACGGGAGGCAGCAGUGGGGAAUAUUGCACAAUGGGCGCAAGCCUGAUGCAGCCAUGCCGCGUGUAUGAAGAAGGCCUUCGGGUUGUAAAGUACUUUCAGCGGGGAGGAAGGGAGUAAAGUUAAUACCUUUACUCAUUGACGUUACCCGCAGAAGAAGCACCGGCUAACUCCGUG